Molecule: ribosomal RNA, 253 nt
Filed under: uncultured bacterium
Lineage: Bacteria
Description: partial 16S ribosomal RNA
Rfam family: Bacterial small subunit ribosomal RNA
Source: RNAcentral
UACGUAGGUGGCGAGCGUUGUCCGGAUUUACUGGGCGUAAAGAGCGCGCAGGCGGCUGGUCAAGUCCGAUGUGAAAGCUCCCGGCUUAACUGGGAAAUUGCAUCGGAAACUGAUCGGCUGGAAGGUGGGAGAGGGUAGCGGAAUUCCCGGUGUAGUGGUGAAAUGCGUAGAUAUCGAGAGGAACACCUGCGGCGAAGGCGGGCUGCUGGGCUGACACUGACGCUGAACUGCGAAAGCUAGGGGAGCGAACGGG